CUGGAGAGUAUGAUCGGGGCAGGGGUAGCUUGCUACCCGCGUGACCAGCGGCGGACGGGUGAGUAAUGCAUAGGAAUCUGCCCGGUAGUGGGGGAUAACCUGGGGAAACCCAGGCUAAUACCGCAUACGUCCUACGGGAGAAAGGGGGCUCCGGCUCCCGCUAUUGGAUGAGCCUAUGUCGGAUUAGCUAGUUGGUGAGGUAAAGGCUCACCAAGGCAACGAUCCGUAGCUGGUCUGAGAGGAUGAUCAGCCACAUCGGGACUGAGACACGGCCCGAACUCCUACGGGAGGCAGCAGUGGGGAAUAUUGGACAAUGGGGGCAACCCUGAUCCAGCCAUGCCGCGUGUGUGAAGAAGGCCCUCGGGUUGUAAAGCACUUUCAGCGAGGAAGAACGCCUAGUGGUUAAUACCCAUUAGGAAAGACAUCACUCGCAGAAGAAGCACCGGCUAACUCCGUGCCAGCAGCCGCGGUAAUACGGAGGGUGCAAGCGUUAAUCGGAAUUACUGGGCGUAAAGCGCGCGUAGGUGGCUUGA
RNAcentral lists this ribosomal RNA (533 nucleotides) under Vreelandella zhaodongensis. Its description in RNAcentral is "bacterial SSU rRNA". It matches the Rfam family "Bacterial small subunit ribosomal RNA", at positions 67 to 583 of the family's 1533-position model. The record is from RNAcentral. Lineage: Bacteria; Pseudomonadati; Pseudomonadota; Gammaproteobacteria; Oceanospirillales; Halomonadaceae.